This is a long non-coding RNA of Salvelinus sp. IW2-2015, 517 nucleotides long. RefSeq lists it as uncharacterized. NCBI's taxonomy places the organism in Eukaryota, Metazoa, Chordata, Actinopteri, Salmoniformes, Salmonidae. The record is from RefSeq and is a predicted model, not a curated record.
CUCAACAACAACUCRGCUUCAAGUUAGCUUCAACAGUGCGAUAGUUAGACAAAUGAAGUCAACAACUCUCGCUUACUUUUUAGUCUUGUCUUCAAUUAUAGAUGCGCAUCGCUAAGGCGUGUAUGUGUGAGAGAGAAGUUAUCCAUCUUUUUGGAGUUGUCAAAAUAUUUCAUUAGCCUGUAUCAACAACUUUUUUGUCAAGAGUGCUGUUGGACCAUUCAAGCGGAACACAUGUAUCGCAAAAUUGGUGCACAUGUUGCUCACUUGUUGCAUUUUAUUUGCUAAUUAAUAUCAGUGWGGAAGACGUCAUUCGUCAAGAUGGUAGAAAACUGAUCGCAAAUGUSUCAAAUAGCCUAGUGACUGAGAUGGACCUAUAGAAUCUGGCACUGAAAUAGAGACAGACGGACCUGAAAUAAGUUUUUCGACAGUGACAGUGGAUGUGCAAGUUCCUUGCGAGGCUUCGUAACCACUCUGGCCGGAGUGGCCCAUGGACUGCGUACCCAGAGGUUGGUGCGUC